GCCUCUGCACGAUUCAGGUAAGUGGAAUAAAAUACAUUGUAAAUAAACAUUAUUAAAACAGAUUGUGAAGUCAUUCAUUCAAAACUUGCUAUGACCUAAGCCUAAAUGACUUAAUUUCUUUUUAGAAUUAAGACAACCUUAGCAGGAGAGCCCCAGCAGUAACUUUCUCUCAAGCAGAUGAGCAAUAAGUUGCUUUGUAUGAACACCACCCUAACAAUCAAGUAGCCUGUUAACAGUAGACCAAAGGUAUGAUGAUCAAUUAUAAAUGCAAUAUGGUUGAAAGGUCAGUAAACAAACAACAAAAAGGUAAUUUCUUAAUAGAAUGUCUAUACAUUUUUUGCUUUUGUUACAUAUUUCAUACAUCAAAAUCAUUAAACGUUAAUAAUUAUGUAUUCCAACUUGUUGCAGCUUGACAAAAAUGUAGCUUGAAGGAGAAGGGACAGCUGAGUAACAAAGUCCUGGUACGCAGACGACGAUACUAUUACACUGACAAGAGUGUAAUGAUGAUGGAGACACAAGCCAGAGAAAGUGGGGACCAAACACCAGGCCAGAAUUCUGCAUGAGUCAGAUCCAGUGGGUGCAGAUCAUCAUACAGAUGGUUCAAGUGUGGAUCCACCUAAUUGUCACGACAGGGUUGGAGAGACAGGACGCAAACGCAGAGUUCGAACCAAUAAAUAACAUUUAAUAAUAA
This is a non-coding RNA of Paramisgurnus dabryanus, 691 nucleotides long. The record is from RefSeq and is a predicted model, not a curated record. Lineage: Eukaryota; Metazoa; Chordata; Actinopteri; Cypriniformes; Cobitidae.